GCCUCCACUGAGACUGCUGAAUGGCACUUGUACAUGUAAAUGGGGAUAAGAUGACACUGAGAGAGGGAAAAGAUGCUGGUGCAGCACUGGGAUGGGAGCCUGGCCUGACAUCAGCCCCCAGGCAGCCAUGCUGGGCCGGCACCUAGAACAGUGACAAAUGCAACACAACUGCACCAGGUUCUACCCCUGACAGCAUGUGGUCGGGAACCGGGCAGGUGGAGGUUGCCAGGGUGGCUUCCUGGAGGAGGUGAGAGUAGUUCUCUGGCCAGCUGGAUGAGAAAAGAGGAGAGGGCCCUUGAGGCUGGGCAGCCAACCUGCAGAGGCUCGGAGGAAGGAAUGAGCAUACAGGUACUUGCCUUUCCUUCAAAUCUGAAUUUUAGCCAAUUGUCUUCGACAGAGAGUCACCAAACGUGGUUCACGGAAUCCUCCCCUUCCAGAUGCUGGGUCCCUGCCCUCCUGCCGCCGUGGUGGCAUCCUCACCAGGACCACUGUGAUUGUCCCUGAGCAGCCCUUCCGCUUUCGUCCCCUCCCCUGACAACCUCCCCAGAGCUAAAAGUACAAAUCUGCCUUCACUUAAACCAUUUCUGGGGUUUCGUUGGCUUCAGGCUGAAGAGGAACUUCCCCAGCUUGGUUCCCCAGAUCUGUCGUGGGCUGGCUGCUGCUGGGCACGGUCACCCGGUCUUUUCCUAGGCUCCCUUAGACCUGUUGCUGUGGCUUCUCUGGAGGGGACCUGCUCCUGCGGCUUCUCUUGGAAUGGACUGUGCUGCUUCUUCCUUCUACCACUCAUCCCUUUGCUCAGAUGCUGCUCUCCUGCUGUUUGUCCAGCCCCCUCUCCCCUGCACACAGGAUUCCUGUGCUCCCCGCCCUUCCCAUGGGUGCAAAUCCCUGCUUUCCUGUGCUUCUUCCUCACUGAUGGGAAGCUAAGGGCAGGGUCAUCUCUCACGUGAUGUUGCUUCCUGUGUUGAGGACUGCAUCUGACUCACUACAGGUUUGGAGAAGAGCAUCGUCCUGGCUUGGGGGCCUCCCUGGUGAUAACAACAUGGUGCCCACCAUGAGGGCAAGAAAGAGUUCCUGGGAGCAGGAGGGCUACAAGCCAAAGAUGAGUGUAUCAUGUCUGGUCAUCCACACUCUCACUUUUCAAAGGCCAGUCUACGUUUGGAACUAGGAAUUCAUUAUGUUUUCUAAGAAAUAGGCAUCAGGAAGAAAGGCACUGCUUGAGAUAUGAGCCUGCGUGAAAUCUCCACUCUUCCAGGAUGUUCAAUGAGGGGUCUGUUAGCUGCAAGAGUCAGGCCAGGAACCCCCUGCUCACCCUGACUGGUGAUAAGCUGCCUCCAGGUCUCUCACAGUUGUGUGGAACUGUGACAGGGAGCAAGUGGCCACUCCAGUCACUGUAUCUCUUAAGUAUGGCUGAGCCUGGAAAAGCAUUCAUUGUAGUUCCAUUUCUGUGAUUUUCCUCUGUGCUUGGAGGGGUUAUAAUUGCACAACAUUCUUGGAGGUCAUCUUUCCUUUCUUGUAAAAGAAAAAAUAAACACUGGCUUGUUUAAGGCUUGGCAAUUGGAUUUAUAUUUACAAAGCUUGUGACCCAAUCAUGGCGUGAGAAAGAUGGCCUUGCGAUAUUUCUUUUCUUCUUGCACAAGCUUAAGGAAGGCCAUGAGUCAAACCCUGCAAGAUGAUGGUGGGAGGUG
Non-coding RNA from Sus scrofa (pig), 1685 nucleotides. NCBI's taxonomy places the organism in Eukaryota, Metazoa, Chordata, Mammalia, Artiodactyla, Suidae. The record is from RefSeq and is a predicted model, not a curated record.